RNAcentral lists this ribosomal RNA (397 nucleotides) under uncultured bacterium. RNAcentral's name for it is "partial 16S ribosomal RNA". It matches the Rfam family "Bacterial small subunit ribosomal RNA", at positions 523 to 918 of the family's 1533-position model. The record is from RNAcentral.
AUACGUAGGGGGCGAGCGUUGUCCGGAAUGAUUGGGCGUAAAGGGCGCGUAGGCGGCCCGGUAAGUCUGGAGUGAAAGUCCUGUUUUUAAGAUGGGAAUUGCUUUGGAUACUGUCGGGCUUGAGUGCAGGAGAGGUAAGUGGAAUUCCCAGUGUAGCGGUGAAAUGCGUAGAGAUUGGGAGGAACACCAGUGGCGAAGGCGACGUACAGGACUGUAACUGACGCUGAGGCGCGAAAGUGUGGGGAGCAAACAGGAUUAGAUACCCUGGUAGUCCACACUGUAAACGAUGAAUGCUAGGUGUAAGAGGUAUCGACCCCUUUUGUGCCGGAGUCAACACAAUAAGCAUUCCGCCUGGGGAGUACGGCCGCAAGGUUGAAACUCAAAUGAAUUGACGGGG